Molecule: long non-coding RNA, 4534 nt
Organism: Oenanthe melanoleuca
Lineage: Eukaryota; Metazoa; Chordata; Aves; Passeriformes; Muscicapidae
Exons: 3
Source: RefSeq, a predicted model, not a curated record
AACAAAAAAAAGAAAACAAGCUGGAAAGAGAUGAAUUUUAUCCUGGUUCCUCGUUCUCCUCAGCAGAUGAAGAACUGCAGCAUCAGCACAGAUUUCUGCUACUCGAGUUAAUGGAGUGCCACUACCAGUCACGGGUUGUCAUCCUCUGAGUAAAGCACUCCCAGAAGAGGAUUGCUGAUGGGCACUGGUGACAAACAUGGACUGAGGAUUUUCUUGUUGGCUGGAAUGGCGAGUAAUUGGAUAGAUGUAUAUUCCAGAUGCAAGGUAAUCCACUGUGUCUCGUGCCAUCCUUGUCCUUUUUCUUUCCCCACUUCAUUCCAGACCUCAUCUUCUCCUGCAGGGAGUCACAGUGGAUCCCAGCUCAUGAUCUCCCAACCUGAUGAGCUCUUUGCUUCCCAAUAUGACACUCUUUGCUUCCAACCUACUUGGCUGGACUGCCCUAACUCCCAGUCCCUUCUCAUGAUCCCAUUUCUCAUCUAGAACAGGUUUGGUAUCCAGUAUAUCUGUCUGAGAAAUUCUUCACAGUGCAUUUGAACAACUCUGUCCUCUGUACUCUAGAUUUUAACAUAGGUGUUGCUGGGACUCAAGGAAGGCAGACCCCUGCUUUUCUUUUGUUGAUAGACCUCUUACAGCUCAUGUCCAUCUGUAGCAAAUAGGACCUUUUAGGAAAGUGUUCUGUUGAAAUCAAAGUCAUCUUUAUUAAAUAUGCACCAUGAUUUUUCAUAUACCUGUCACUGACAUAAAAGCUGUCUUCUAUCAGCUUUUAAGUCCUUACACCAAACUUGCAAGAUGUAGGUUUUGUCACAGAAGACAUCAGAAUUUUUAACCACAGCAUAUUUUCCCCAAAAGCCUGCCAGACAUGUCAGAGAUUUCUGAGUUGUUUUACACUGGUUCCCCUUGAGAAUGUGUGUCAAGUAAAACGUCCUGAAUGAUACAAUAUCACAUUGUUUAGACGGGACAGCAAUAUUAAUGCAUUUAAUCUUAUAAAAAGCAUUCUAAUAUCUUUAGUGAGCACUAUACAGACUUUUAUUCCUUAGAGAAGAUAAGGGAUGUCCUUGCAAACAAGAAAAAUUAGAUCCUGUUGUGCCAAGGCCUAUGCUCUAAGUAGUUCAAGGUGACCAGUGUACAGCUCAGACUGUUACAUAAAACAAUUUGCAAAGAUCAGUGAAAAUUAAACACACAAUGACAGCUUCUUCAAGAAAACAAGACCCAGUGAAAUGCCUCAAGGACUACACUGAAAUAAUGUCCAGCAGAGAUUUGAAAAAAGUGAUACUAAACUCAGUGGUACUCUUGCAGAGUAGCUGAGAGAAGACUCUCAGUCAGGUACGAGAAGUAUGACAAUGAUUAUGUGAGUGAUUAUGCUGAGAUUUAUUGCUAACACAGUAUGUAAAUAUUGUCAGUGCAUUGUAUAAUUUAAGUAGGUCUGAAGGGCUAUAACAUGGACAGGUUCAGCUGCAAAUGUGCAGGUUUGCAGGAAGCACAAUUGCAAAGCAGCAAUGCACCCAUAGAGCUGCUUUAGGAUUUUAUCUCCACCUGUUACUCACCUGUCCAAAGCUGAGUGUUCCCAUCCUUGUGCUGGUUGAUGCUGGGCUGGAUCCACCUGGGAGCUGCCCUGCAGUCUCAGGAGGUCACUUUGCCCAGCUGGCCCAGUCUCCAGGAGCAUUUUGUACCCUUCUGCAGGCCCACGUGUACCAAGAUCAAUCACAACCAUCACCACUCCCCCACCUCUGGAAUGCAUUAAUUAUGCAAGCAUCCAGACAGCUCCUCCUGCAAUUCCUACUAGUGUUCUUAUUUUAGGACAGAUCAUAUUCAAGGACUGCAUGGGAGAGGGGGUUGGUGUGUAUGGAGGACACACUCCAAGACCUGACUUUUUUGUCACCAUCACUGUGGAUAAAUUGAUAGAGUAAAUCUUACUAAUGAGCAAAAUCAUGAGUGGUGGGCUACUCUGACUCCCUGAUGAUCCAAAUCUUGAGCUGCAAAGAUGCUGAAUUUGACCCAAACUGCAGAAAGAUAGGUAGGCAGCAGAAGCAUAGCAGUCUGGUUUGUACUUUUUCUUUCCUCCCCAGUUCUUUAAUUUUCCACAUAUGUUUCCCUUCGAUUUCUGAGAAAAAUCUGCUUAAGAUACUGAAGCUGUCCUUUGGAGAGCUGCUGUGAUGCUGUUCAUAAACAUCCAAAAAGCUGUGUUGGAGACAGCAGGGCAUUGCUGCAAUUUCCAUGUUUCCCUGUGACCAACAGACAAUAUGCUGUCCUGAAGUUUUCUAGCAAUGAAUUUGUUCAGUGCCAGCACCAGAGAGAGAGGCUGAGUUCCCUUCCCCUGCAGCCCCUGAGCUGGCUUUGUCCCUCUCCCAUACAGCCCUGCCUCUCCAGGGAAGGACUGGGCUCUGUCAACAGCUCCAGCAGCAUUUCCAGCCCAUCUCAGUGAACUGAAAAACUCUCUUUUCUGAAAUAGAAAACCCAAUACUUUGUCUUUCUUGCUAUAUCUAAGCCUGUUAAACAAUGGUGUUUUUCUCACAGACUUUAAACAGUGAAUGCAAGUUGGAGUUUUAAUAUUAAAGCCCGACUUUUCUGCAUUCUAAAUAUUUUUAUUCUUCUUUUCUCCUUAUAUUUUUCUAUCUUUAACAGAGGGUUUCAAAGGUUUUAUGUGAUCCAUAUUGACACAGGAAUAAACAAGCAUUUGAAACAUCAAACCCUAUCCAAAGCUUGUUUAGCAAUACAGUUUUGUUAGUGACACAGGACCUUCAAUUCAUUUGACCCUCUGGGUCUGUUUGCUCUACUGAAAUUUGACUCAGCAAAGUUAAAUCCCUUUCUAUCAUUCUGCAAGACAACUCAUUUUAUGUUUGGAUACAAACCAAUUCACUGCCAAAGCUGCAUAAUCAACUCCUGCCCUAACAUUCCAGUUAGUGCUCGUAGGGCUGAAUGGAAAAAUGAAAUGGUGAGAGUUGUAUAGAAAUAUAAUUUCUAUAGGAUGCUCAGUGAAUAUCAGAACAAUAGAUUGUGUAUUAACUACUGUGUUUACCAACACUCUUUUCCCUUGGUGUAGCCUAUAUAUUUAUGUAAGGGGGUAGCAGUCCGCUGUCAUUUUAUUGUGCAAAAUUCUGGAGUGGAAGUAAUGAAGUAAUUUUGGUUUUUUUCCAAAUUUAUUUUUACUUGAGAAAGUGUUCUGUAAUGACAAGCUCUGGAACAAAAUUUAAAAGGCAAGGCAUUUUCUGUAUUUGAAAGAUUUCUCCAUAUGAUUGCAAAUAAGAAAAUUAUGGAAAUAGCUAUUCUCUUUUUAUUUUAUAUUGUUCAAUCAACAUGGUUUUUUCUUCCCUCUUGCUAUGCCAUCAUGUGCAGCUUUCAUUUUGUCUUUGGUUCAUUUUUAAUAUUUAUACCUACUUAUUAUCAAACAAAGCAGAGCAAACAGUUCUUAAAGGAUGUGCUGGAGCAAAUCAUUAUAGGUUAUAUUUAUUUUCAUGUUCAGGCUAUGGAAGGCUAGCCAGGGAUAUCUCUUUCCACUUAAAAUGUCUAAGUCCAUUGGAAAAUAAUUAGAGGUUGGUCAGAUAAGGAUUUUCUUCUUUUUUUUUUUUUCCUUCCCUCCUCCAUUUUGUGUUAAACAUUGAAUCCAUGAAAAGCAGCCUAUUACUGUAAGCCAUAAAGCAGUUCUUUCCCUGUUUCAGAGAAAUCUACUUGAAAUAUGUGCAGCCUUUUUGAUCUCCAGGCUCCUAGUCUGGGCAAACAGAUGGAGUGUUUCUACCUGGGCUAUUAUUUUCUUUUCCUCUUCUCCCCUUUGAACAAAGCCAUGCUCCCUGUGCAAGCAAAGAGGGAAGGACUUUUAACCCUACACACACCAUGGUGGGGCUGAGCAGAUCACAGAAAGUUCUCAGGACUCUUCAGUUCCAAUAGACAGCUCUCAUGGACCCCAAAGCAUGGCUGCACACCUGCCUCAUUUCCCUGCACUGCCUGGAUACAUUCCAUCCCAGCUGGUGAUGGCCACAGGACCACAGCCUGAAGAGGGAAACACUGAAAUACUGCUUUCACCAAGUGAAACACUGAAGAUGAGAGCCCAACAAGUCGUCUUCCAUCAGAAACUAGACAAAACCAUCCGCGAGUUCAGCACAUAUUGCCCUGUGGCUGGUUUAUCUGCAUGACCUUCUCCAGCAGCCCCAAGCCAGCUCUGCCGUGUUCCCUGACAACCAGGUGUGGUGUAGCUGUGGCCAAAAGCUGUGCACCCAGUCAGGUAACGUGGCUGCAUGUGGUGGUAUUGCUGUGAUGACAGGCCAAAACCUACAGACUCUCAACUGCACAUGGGGCAGAGAGAAAGGUGACCUCUUUUAACGCCCUGUCCAAGGGACAAAGACUUCCACAGAAUGGAAGUGAACACAGAGUCAUCUGGCCCGACCUCCCUUCUCAAGCGUGGUCAUUCUAUAGCACACAGGCGGUUCUUGAGCAUCUCUAGCGAGGGAGAUUCCACACCCUCUCUGGGCAGCCUGUUCCACAGCAUGGUCACCCAGACAGCAAAGAAGUUUUCCGUCAUAUUCAAAAGGAGAACUCCCCG